This 425-nucleotide ribosomal RNA is filed under the name uncultured Nitrosomonas sp. RNAcentral describes it as "bacterial SSU rRNA". It matches the Rfam family "Bacterial small subunit ribosomal RNA", at positions 198 to 604 of the family's 1533-position model. Lineage: Bacteria; Pseudomonadati; Pseudomonadota; Betaproteobacteria; Nitrosomonadales; Nitrosomonadaceae. The record is from RNAcentral.
GGAGAAAAGUAGGGGAUCGCAAGACCUUGCGCUAAAGGAGCGGCCGAUGUCUGAUUAGUUAGUUGGUGGGGUAAAGGCCUACCAAGGCAACGAUCAGUAGCUGGUCUGAGAGGACGAUCAGCCACACUGGGACUGAGACACGGCCCAGACUCCUACGGGAGGCAGCAGUGGGGAAUUUUGGACAAUGGGCGAAAGCCUGAUCCAGCCAUGCCGCGUGAAUGAAGAAGGCCUUCGGGUUGUAAAGUUCUUUUAGUUGGAAAGAAAAAAUUAUGAUGAAUAAUCAUAAUUCAUGACGGUACCGACAGAAAAAGCACCGGCUAACUACGUGCCAGCAGCCGCGGUAAUACGUAGGGUGCAAGCGUUAAUCGGAAUUACUGGGCGUAAAGGGUGUGCAGGCGGCCUUGUAAGUCAGAUGUGAAAGCCCC